AGUGAACGCUGGCGGUAGGCCUAACACAUGCAAGUCGAACGGCAGCACAGUAAGAGCUUGCUCUUACGGGUGGCGAGUGGCGGACGGGUGAGGAAUACAUCGGAAUCUACUUUUUCGUGGGGGAUAACGUAGGGAAACUUACGCUAAUACCGCAUACGACCUACGGGUGAAAGCAGGGGAUCUUCGGACCUUGCGCGAUUGAAUGAGCCGAUGUCGGAUUAGCUAGUUGGCGGGGUAAAGGCCCACCAAGGCGACGAUCCGUAGCUGGUCUGAGAGGAUGGUCAGCCACACUGGAACUUAGACACGGUCCAGACUCCUGCGGGAGGAAGCAGUGGGGAAUAUUGGACAAUGGGCGGAAGCAUGAUCCAGCCAUACCGCGUGGGUGAAGAAGGCCUUCGGGUUGUAAAGCCCUUUUGUUGGGAAAGAAAAGCAGCAGGCUAAUACCCCGCUGUUCUGACGGUACCGAAUAAAUAAGCACCGGCUAACUUCGUG
This 492-nucleotide ribosomal RNA is filed under the name uncultured bacterium. RNAcentral describes it as "partial 16S ribosomal RNA". It matches the Rfam family "Bacterial small subunit ribosomal RNA", at positions 29 to 507 of the family's 1533-position model. The record is from RNAcentral.